Molecule: long non-coding RNA, 1272 nt
Filed under: Callithrix jacchus (white-tufted-ear marmoset)
Lineage: Eukaryota; Metazoa; Chordata; Mammalia; Primates; Cebidae
Description: lncRNA (ENSCJAG00000083883.1)
Source: RNAcentral
CAAAAGUAGAGAAACAGCACCUGAUGUUCUUUUGAACCAAGAUCGCUGCUUCAGUCCAAACAUAUUCUUCAGGCUGGAUGUCGGGCACCUGAAGGGUGAUCAGUAUUCUGCUGGAAUUAAAGCCUGCUGUGAUGUUAAUGAAGAACCGCCAGUGGGUUUGCUGGAAGUUCCCUUCCACAUACCAAAAAAUUAAAAGAGGAAGAAGGACGAGGAGGAGGAGGAGGACAAGAAAGGAAAGCACAGGUGACAUGACUCCUGGGUCUCUCUCACUUAACCCUCAACUUCCAAACAGGAUACUUUAAGGAAGCCAGGAGCACUUUCCAGACAGUGGCGCAUGGAGGAGGAAAUUCAAUAGAGCAUCCAUGAGGCCCGCUUGGCUGGAUGGGAAGACUGGUACAGCAACAUUCACAGUUGUAAGGUUUGUUCUUUCCCUUUAAGAGAUUCCAAAGAACUUUCUGUUUCCCAUGGUUUGAAUGUCUCCUCCAAAACACAUGUUGAAACUUGGUUGCCAUUGUGAGGUAUUAAGAGGUGGGGCCUUUGAGAGGUGAUUGGGCCAUGAGGACUCUGUCCUCAUGAAUACAUUAUGUUUUUAUCAUGGGAGUGAGUUAGAUAUUUGGGAGUUUGGCCCCCUUUUCCUCUCUUUCUUGUGCCCUCUGACCCCCUCUUGCCCUUCUGCCUUCUGCCCUUCCACUGUGAGAUGACCCUCGUCAGAUGUGGCACCAUGCUCUUGAACUUCCCACCCUCCAGCACUGUAAGAAAUAAAAAUCUUUCCCUUGUAAGUUACUGUCUUUGGUGUUCUGUUAUAGCAGCGGAAAACAGACUAAGAUGCUGUCCUUUACUUAGAAACUUUCCGUAAGUGUUACAUGCUGUGAUAGUUAAUUUUGUCCAUUUGAGUGGGCCAUGGGGUGCCUAGAUAUUUGGUCAAGUCCUUAUUCUGGGUGUAUCUGUGAGGGUGUUUCUAGAUGAGAUUAACAUACAAAUGGGUGGACUGAUGAAAGCAGAUUGUCCUCCCUAGUGUGGUACGCUCCAUCAAAUUAAUUAAAGACCUGAAUAGAACAAAAAAGCCAAGUAAGCGGAAACUUUGUCUGCCUGGCUUCUUGAGCUGAGACUUUGGUUUUCCCCUGCCUUCAGACUGGCACUUACACCAUCGGCUCUCCUGGUUCUCAGGUGUUUGGACCUGUACUGGAAUUGUACCACCUGUUCUCCUGAGUGUCCAGCUUGCCAACUGAAGAUCAUGAAAUUCUCAGUUUUCAAAAUUGCAUGAGCCAAUUU